Molecule: ribosomal RNA, 301 nt
Filed under: uncultured bacterium
Lineage: Bacteria
Description: partial 16S ribosomal RNA
Rfam family: Bacterial small subunit ribosomal RNA
Source: RNAcentral
CAGUCGCCGCGGGAAUACAGAGGGUGCGAGCGUUAAUCGGAAUUACUGGGCGUAAAGCGUGCGCAGGCGGUUUUGUAAGUCUGUCGUGAAAUCCCCGGGCUCAACCUGGGAAUGGCGAUGGAGACUGCAAGGCUAGAAUCUGGCAGAGGGGGGUAGAAUUCCACGUGUAGCAGUGAAAUGCGUAGAUAUGUGGAGGAACACCGAUGGCGAAGGCAGCCCCCUGGGCUAAGAUUGACGCUCAUGCACGAAAGCGUGGGGAGCAAACAGGAUUAGAUACCCCGGUAGUCCCUGUCUCUUAUAC